UGCGUAGGGUGCGAGCGUUGUCCGGAAUUACUGGGCGUAAAGAGCUCGUAGGUGGUUUGUCUCGUUGUUCGUGAAAACUCACAGCUUAACUGUGGGCGUGCGGGCGAUACGGGCAGACUGGAGUACUGCAGGGGAGACUGGAAUUCCUGGUGUAGCGGUGGAAUGCGCAGAUAUCAGGAGGAACACCGGUGGCGAAGGCGGGUCUCUGGGCAGUAACUGACGCUGAUGAGCGAAAGCGUGGGGAGCGAACAGG
Molecule: ribosomal RNA, 253 nt
Filed under: uncultured bacterium
Lineage: Bacteria
Description: partial 16S ribosomal RNA
Rfam family: Bacterial small subunit ribosomal RNA
Source: RNAcentral